This 492-nucleotide ribosomal RNA is filed under the name uncultured bacterium. Its description in RNAcentral is "partial 16S ribosomal RNA". It matches the Rfam family "Bacterial small subunit ribosomal RNA", at positions 29 to 507 of the family's 1533-position model. The record is from RNAcentral.
AGUGAACGCUGGCGGUAGGCCUAACACAUGCAAGUCGAACGGCAGCACAGUAAGAGCUUGCUCUUACGGGUGGCGAGUGGCGGACGGGUGAGGAAUACAUCGGAAUCUACUUUUUCGUGGGGGAUAACGUAGGGAAACUUACGCUAAUACCGCAUACGACCUACGGGUGAAAGCAGGGGAUCUUCGGACCUUGCGCGAUUGAAUGAGCCGAUGUCGGAUUAGCUAGUUGGCGGGGUAAAGGCCCACCAAGGCGACGAUCCGCAGCUGGUCUGAGAGGAUGAUCAGCCACACUGGAACUGAGACAGGGUCAAGACGCCUAAGGGAGGCAGCAGUGGGGAAUAUUGGACAGUGGGCGCAAGCCUGGUCCAGCCAUACCGCGUGUGUGAAGAAGGCCUUCGGGUUGUAAAGCCCUUUUGUUGGGAAAGAAAAGCAGCAGGUUAAUACCACGCUGUUCUGACGGUACCCAAAGAAUAAGCACCGGCUAACUUCGUG